This 236-nucleotide ribosomal RNA is filed under the name Protocruzia adhaerens. RNAcentral describes it as "Protocruzia adherens partial Eukaryotic large subunit ribosomal RNA". The record is from RNAcentral. Lineage: Eukaryota; Ciliophora; Spirotrichea.
UAGCUCGUUAGAUGAACAACUUGUACAAGAUAUAUGGAAAGAGAAAAGAAGUACGAAAGGAGACGAAAAAAACACUUGAUCACGUGAGAAGGGAUGUUUCAAACAAAUUGGCCAACUCCAGCACGUGAUUCAACCAAAUGGUUUUCUCUUUCGUCUACGUGUAUUUUUUCCCUACGCUUUGAUUCUACGAGAGGGAGAGAGGAAUAUGAUUCGUUGUUCGGAAUUCAAUUCUGGUC